UUGGCCCAGAUCAAAGCUGAAGCUGUUGGUUUUAAGCAAAAGCCUGCAGAAACGUCUCUCCGUGGCCGGUUGCCCAUUUCAGAACUUUGGAAACCAAUGGUCAAUUCUUUAGAAAGAAACAUCG
RNAcentral lists this small nucleolar RNA (124 nucleotides) under Urocitellus parryii (Arctic ground squirrel). The record is from RNAcentral. Lineage: Eukaryota; Metazoa; Chordata; Mammalia; Rodentia; Sciuridae.